This 97-nucleotide non-coding RNA is filed under the name Priestia filamentosa. Lineage: Bacteria; Bacillati; Bacillota; Bacilli; Caryophanales; Bacillaceae. The record is from RNAcentral.
GAGAGCCGUAUACCUUGAGAGGGGUACGUACGGUUCGGGGGGGAGUUCUCGGAAACCUAAGACCGAGAGGUCUUAAGGCGCCGGGUUCUUACCCUAC